RNAcentral lists this long non-coding RNA (674 nucleotides) under Trifolium pratense (red clover). RNAcentral describes it as "long non-coding RNA (TPRA_LNC011797)". The record is from RNAcentral. Lineage: Eukaryota; Viridiplantae; Streptophyta; Magnoliopsida; Fabales; Fabaceae.
CAUUAUAUAUGAAAUGAAAAAGAAUACUAUAACUAGAAAACAUCAACAAUUCAUGCAACUCCUAACAUCCUUCAUUUGUUUUGUUUCAGGAGAGAAAGCAGACCAAAUAACUCAUUUUACUCAGUUUGAGUCACAAAAUAAUGUUCUCUAAUUUCAGAAACAUAGUACUGUUAUAUGUUUGAACACUAAUAUUACAUCAUAAGGUCAUAAUAUCAAAUUACAAAUACAACACUUGGUAAAUUCAAUUAUAAAAGUGUGUUACACAAUUAUAUUUAUCUUGUCAAUUUUAUUAAUCAGGACUUUCUGAGGUGAGCUGUCUCAAGAUAAAAAAAAUGAAAAAUCUAAUAAAAAUAUUUUAUUACUGAGUUGUUGUAUGAUGUGUUCACUGAAGAAGAUAUUAAUAUACAUUUACUUUUUUUAGUUUUUUAACUAGUGCUCUAGAGAUACUAAUUAACAUAACUCUUUAAAUUUUAAUUAUUUAGAAUUAUGUGUAAGAUAUAGGUGAUAGUAGUAAGUUGAACUAGUAAGCAUGUUGUACAUUUCACAUUAUGCGUGUUUUGUGGGGUAUUUGGCUAUAUAAUAUAUACAAUGCAAUUUCAAAAAUAUUUGUGCAGGCCCAUGCCCCCAAAGUGGUGGCUCUGGCUCCGUCCCUGGCCGAGACACAAUGCAUCUUU